This 371-nucleotide transfer-messenger RNA is filed under the name Nocardioidaceae. RNAcentral's name for it is "Nocardioides_A sp018672315 Standard tmRNA". It matches the Rfam family "transfer-messenger RNA". From Rfam's summary of the family: Bacterial tmRNA, also known as 10Sa RNA or SsrA, is named for its dual tRNA and mRNA-like properties. Its role is to liberate the mRNA from a stalled ribosome. Lineage: Bacteria; Bacillati; Actinomycetota; Actinomycetes; Propionibacteriales. RNAcentral also lists the same sequence under 1 other name. The record is from RNAcentral.
GGGGCUGAUCGGUUUCGACUUGGGACGUUGGUCCCAGGGGAAGCGGGUCGAGAAGCCAGCGUCAUCUCGUAAACGAUCGCUGGAACCAACAAGUGCCGACUCUAAGCGCACUAACUUCGCUCUCGCUGCCUGAGCAGUGAUCGAAGGGUCAGUCCGGGCAUCCGUCUCCGUCCCGGGUCCUGAUCUCAUCAAGGGGACUUGCCCACCGGUUCUGUCACGGUGACCGGUGGGGACUUUUUCCGUGACUGCGUCCGUCAGCGACAUGUUCGUGUGAGCGCUGGGACAGAGAACACGACCACCCACGGACUACACCCGUAGAAGACCUGGUACGGCGCUCGAGGACGCGGGUUCGAUUCCCGCCAGCUCCACCA